Thiocapsa marina 5811 is the source of this 90-nucleotide small RNA. It matches the Rfam family "t44 RNA". From Rfam's summary of the family: This family consists of a number of bacterial RNA genes of between 135 and 170 bases in length. The t44 gene is found between the map and rpsB genes in all species in the full alignment apart from Shigella flexneri. The function of this RNA is unknown. Lineage: Bacteria; Pseudomonadati; Pseudomonadota; Gammaproteobacteria; Chromatiales; Chromatiaceae. The record is from Rfam.
CGGGCGCCGGAAAAUGUCCGCACACGCAUCGACACAACCGGCCGGGUGCCUGGUAAACAGGUUGCCGCUUGGGAUGCGUGGAGGCCCAAC